RNAcentral lists this ribosomal RNA (279 nucleotides) under uncultured bacterium. RNAcentral's name for it is "partial 16S ribosomal RNA". It matches the Rfam family "Bacterial small subunit ribosomal RNA", at positions 506 to 784 of the family's 1533-position model. The record is from RNAcentral.
UGCCAGCCGCCGCGGUAAUACGGAGGGGGUUAGCGUUGUUCGGAAUUACUGGGCGUAAAGCGCGCGUAGGCGGACUAGUCAGUCAGAGGUGAAAUCCCAGGGCUCAACCCUGGAACUGCCUUUGAUACUGCUAGUCUUGAGUUCGAAAGAGGGAGGUGGAAUUCCUAGUGUAGAGGUGAAAUUCGUAGAUAUUAGGAGGAACACCGGUGGCGAAAGCGGCCUCCUGGUUCGAUACUGACGCUGAGACGCGAAAGCGUGGGGAGCAAACAGGAUUAGAUA